UUCCGUGUUUUUUGUGGUGGGCAAGUGAAGCAGACAGUUGGAUGAGGAAUGAAUUCGAUGGCCAAUGGGCAGAUGAGGCUCAUUAACUUGAAACAGCGUGACAGUUGGGGCGUCGUGGGGCCAUCUCCUUUAAGAGCUCGCAACGCAGCGGAACGACGUGGAUUCUCUGGCUAUAUUAAGCUUUGCCCCAUAGCUCGAUGCCGGCAUGCGCAGUGAGAUUCUGAACUUCCUUUGAUCUCUCUGCGGGUUUGAGCGACGAUGAGGGUAGUUUCGCGUUGUGCCGGGGUUGCACUCUUUUGUGCGUUGCUAGUUGGUGCCGCCGUCGGAGACGCAGAUGGCGUCAAAGACGACAAGCACUUGUUUCCCCACCCGGGUUUAGGGCAUGGGAUUUACAAGNNNN
Molecule: long non-coding RNA, 400 nt
Filed under: Eucalyptus grandis
Lineage: Eukaryota; Viridiplantae; Streptophyta; Magnoliopsida; Myrtales; Myrtaceae
Description: long non-coding RNA (EGRA_LNC004504)
Source: RNAcentral